ACCGGCGCACGGGUGCGUAACGCGUAUAGAAUCUGCCUCGUACAGGGGGAUAGCCCAGAGAAAUUUGGAUUAAUACCCCCAUAAUGUUGUGAAAUGGCAUCAUUUUAUAAUUAAAGAUUUAUCGGUACGAGAUGACUAUGCGUCCUAUUAGCUAGUUGGUAAGGUAACGGCUUACCAAGGCGACGACAGGUAGGGGGUCUGAGAGGAAGAUCCCCCACACUGGGACUGAGACACGGCCCAGACUCCUACGGGAGGCAGCAGUGAGGAAUAUUGGACAAUGGAGGCAACUCUGAUCCAGCCAUGCCGCGUGAAGGACUAAGGCCCUAUGGGUCGUAAACUUCUUUUUACGCAGAGCAAUAAUAUGUACGUGUACAUAGAUGAGAGUAUGUGUAGAAUAAGCAUCGGCUAACUCCGUGCCAGCAGCCGCGGUAAUACGGAGGAUGCGAGCGUUAUCCGGAUUUAUUGGGUUUAAAGGGUGCGUAGGCGGUUAAUCAAGUCAGUGGUGAAAUACACUCGCUCAACGAGUGGGCUGCCAUUGAAACUGAUUGGCUUGAGUACGGAUGCCGUGUGAGGAAUGAGUAGUGUAGCGGUGAAAUGCAUAGAUAUUACUCAGAACACCGAUUGCGAAGGCAUCUCACGAAUCCGCAACUGACGCUGAUGCACGAAAGCGUGGGUAUCCAACAGGAUUAGAUACCCUGGUAGUCCACGCUGUAAACGAUGAUAACUAACUGUCGGCGAUACACAGUCGGUGGCCAAGCGAAAGCGAUAAGUUAUCCACCUGGGGAGUACGACCGCAAGAGUUGAAACUCAAAGGAAUUGACGGGGGCCCGCACAAGCGGAGGAACAUGUGGUUUAAUUCGAUGAUACGCGAGGAACCUUACCCAGGCUCGAACGGCGUAUGAAUAUGGUAGAGAUGCUAUAGUCUUCGGACAUAUGUCGAGGUGCUGCAUGGUUGUCGUCAGCUCGUGCCGUGAGGUGUCGGCUUAAGUGCCAUAACGAGCGCAACCCUUGCCGUUAGUUACCAUCAAGUUGUGUUGGGGACUCUAGCGGGACUGCCACCGCAAGGUGUGAGGAGGGGGGGGAUGACGUCAAAUCAGCACGGCCCUUACGUCUGGGGCGACACACGUGUUACAAUGGUAGGUACAGAGGGCAGCUAUUGGGUGACCAAAUGCCAAUCUCCAAAACCUAUCUCAGUUCGGACUGGAGUCUGCAACUCGACUCCACGAAGUUGGAUUCGCUAGUAAUCGCACAUCAGCCAUGGUGCGGUGAAUACGUUCCCGGGCCUUGUACACACCGCCCGUCAAGCCAUGAAAGCCGAGGGUGCCUGAAGUUCGUGACCGUGAGGAGCGACCUAGGGCAAAAUUGGUGAUUGGGGCUAAGUCGUAACAAGGUAGCC
RNAcentral lists this ribosomal RNA (1396 nucleotides) under uncultured bacterium. RNAcentral describes it as "bacterial SSU rRNA". It matches the Rfam family "Bacterial small subunit ribosomal RNA". The record is from RNAcentral.